RNAcentral lists this ribosomal RNA (358 nucleotides) under uncultured bacterium. RNAcentral describes it as "bacterial SSU rRNA". It matches the Rfam family "Bacterial small subunit ribosomal RNA", at positions 355 to 730 of the family's 1533-position model. The record is from RNAcentral.
UGGGGAAUCUUGCACAAUGGGGGCAACCCUGAUGCAGCGACGCCGCGUGAGCGAUGAAGCACUUCGGGGCGUAAAGCUCUUUCGACCGGAACGAUAAUGACGGUACCGGGAGAAGAAGCUGCGGCUAACUACGUGCCAGCAGCCGCGGUAAUACGUAGGCAGCAAGCGUUGUUCGGAGUUACUGGGCGUAAAGAGUGCGUAGGCGGUUUUCUAAGUUCGGUGUGAAAUCUCCCGGCUCAACUGGGAGGCGUCGGAUGAUACGGCGGGGCUCGAGAAAGGUAGGGGGCCGUGGAAUGCCCGGUGUAGUGGUGGAAUGCGUAGAGAUCGGGAGGAACACCCGUGGCGAAGGCGACGGCCU